AUUGAACGCUGGCGGCAUGCUUUACACAUGCAAGUCGAACGGUAACAGGCCUUCGGGUGCUGACGAGUGGCGAACGGGUGAGUAAUGCAUCGGAACGUGCCCAGAGGUGGGGGAUAACGCAGCGAAAGCUGUGCUAAUACCGCAUGUGAUCUGAGGAUGAAAGCGGGGGACCAGGCAGCAAUGUUUGGCCUCGCGCCUUUGGAGCGGCCGAUGUCAGAUUAGGUAGUUGGUGGGGUAAAGGCCUACCAAGCCGACGAUCUGUAGCUGGUCUGAGAGGACGACCAGCCACACUGGGACUGAGACACGGCCCAGACGCCUACGGGAGGCAGCAGUGGGGAAUUUUGGACAAUGGGCGCAAGCCUGAUCCAGCAAUGCCGCGUGCGGGAAGAAGGCCUUCGGGUUGUAAACCGCUUUUGUACGGAACGAAAAGGCUCUGGCUAAUACCUGGGGCUGAUGACGGUACCGUAAGAAUAAGCACCGGCUAACUACGUG
This 492-nucleotide ribosomal RNA is filed under the name uncultured bacterium. Its description in RNAcentral is "partial 16S ribosomal RNA". It matches the Rfam family "Bacterial small subunit ribosomal RNA", at positions 30 to 507 of the family's 1533-position model. The record is from RNAcentral.